GGGGAUGUAGCUCAGGGGUAGAGAAUUUGACUGCAGAUCAAGAGUUCCCUGGUUCAAAUCCAGGUGCCCCCU
Ictidomys tridecemlineatus (thirteen-lined ground squirrel) is the source of this 72-nucleotide non-coding RNA. The record is from Rfam. NCBI's taxonomy places the organism in Eukaryota, Metazoa, Chordata, Mammalia, Rodentia, Sciuridae.